RNAcentral lists this ribosomal RNA (858 nucleotides) under uncultured bacterium. RNAcentral's name for it is "bacterial SSU rRNA". It matches the Rfam family "Bacterial small subunit ribosomal RNA", at positions 8 to 904 of the family's 1533-position model. The record is from RNAcentral.
AGAGUUUGAUCAUGGCUCAGGAUGAACGCUGGCGGUAUGCCUAACACAUGCAAGUCAUACGAGAGUUUUUAACUCAAGUGGCGGACGGGUGAGUAACACGUGAGAAUUCACCUUUAGGAGGGGGACAACAACUGGAAACGGUUGCUAAUACCCCAUAUGCUUUCGAGUGAAAUGAAUUUAUUCGCCUGAAGAGAAGCUCGCGGCUGAUUAACUUGUUGGUAGGGUAAGAGCCUACCAAGGCGACGAUCAGUAUCUGGUUUGAGAGGACGAUCAGACACACUGGAACUGAGACACGGUCCAGACUCCUACGGGAGGCAGCAGUGGGGAAUUUUCCGCAAUGGGCGAAAGCCUGACGGAACAAUACCGCGUGAGGGAAGACGGCCUAUGGGUUGUAAACCUCUUUUUUCAGGGAGGAAUUCAAUGACGUGUACCUGAAGAAUAAGCAUCGGCUAACUCCGUGCCAGCAGCCGCGGUAAGACGGAGGAUGCAAGUGUUAUCCGGAAUCACUGGGCGUAAAGCGUCUGUAGGUUGUUAAACAAGUCAACUGUUAAAUCUUGAGGCUCAACUUCAAAAUCGCAGUCGAAACUGUUUGACUAGAGUAUAGUAGGGGUAAAGGGAAUUUCCAGUGGAGCGGUGAAAUGCGUAGAUAUUGGAAAGAACACCAAUGGCGAAGGCACUUUACUGGGCUAUUGCUGACACUCAGAGACGAAAGCUAGGGUAGCAAAUGGGAUUAGAUACCCCAGUAGUCCUAGCCGUAAACAAUGGAUACUAGAUGUUGAACAGAUCGACCUGUGCAGUAUCAAAGCUAACGCGUUAAGUAUCCCGCCUGGGAAGUAUGCUCGCAAGAGUGAAACUCAA